AGUUGAUCCUGCUAGACCGGAUUGCUAUCAGGAUGGGACUAAGCCAUGCAAGUCAAAUAUUUUUUCAUGCCUGAAAUAUUGGCGGAUCGCUCAGUAGCACGUAGUUAAUCUACCCUGCAGAGGGGUAUACCCACGGGAAACUGUGGCUAAUUCCCCAUAGGCCACGCGGACUGGAAUGUUGCGUGACUCAAAGGCUCGUUCUAGGCUAUGAGCGAACGAGCGCUACAGGAUGAGACUGCGGCAGAUUAUGGUCGUUGGUGGGGUAACGGCCCACCAAGCCUGUGAUCUGUGCGGGCUGUGGGAGCAGGAGCCCGGAGAUGGGAACUGAGACAACGUCCCAAGCCCUACGGGGUGCAGCAGGCGCGAAAACUCCGCAAUGCACGCAAGUGCGACGGGGCCAUCCUGAGUGCCUUCGGGCUUUUCAUCAGUUUAAGACGCUGAUGGAAUAAGGGGAGGGCAAGGCUGGUGCCAGCAGCCGCGGUAAAACCAGCUCCUCAAGUGAUCCGGGACAUUACUGGGCCUAAAGCGUCCGUAGCCGGAUCUGCAAGUCUUCGGUUAAAUCCGACAGCUCAACUGCCGGCCUGCUGAAGAUACUACAGACCUUGGAGGCGGAAGAGGUCGAGGGUACUCCUCGGGUAGGGGUGAAAUCCGAUAAUCCGAGGGGGACCACCAGUGGCGAAGGCGCUCGACUGGGACGCGCUCGACGGUGAUGGACGAAAGCCAGGGGAGCGAACCGGAUUAGAUACCCGGGUAGUCCUGUGCUGUAAACGAUGCGGGCUAGGUGUUGGCCCAGCCACGAGCUGGGUCAGUGCCGAAGGGAAGCCGUUAAGCCCGCCGCCUGGGGAGUACGGUCGCAAGGCUGAAACUUAAAGGAAUUGGCGGGGGAGCACCACAAGGGGUGAAGUCUGCGGUUUAAUUGGACCCAACGCCGGGAAGCUUACCAGGGGCGACAGCUGUAUGAAGGUCAGGCUGAUGACCUUACCAGACUCGCUGAGAGGCGGUGCAUGGCCGUCGCCAGUUCGUGCCGUGAGGUGUCCUGUUAAGUCAGGCAACGAACGAAACCCAAACUCACAGUUGUGAGCAGAUCCCUUCGGGGAUGCUGGGCACUCUGUGGGGACCGCCAUCGCUAAGAUGGAUGAAGGUUUGGGCCACGGCAGGUCAGUAUGCCCCGAAUCCCCUGGGCCACACGCGGACUGCAAAGGCGAGGACAAUGGGUUGCUACAUCGAAAGGUGACGCUAAUCCCGAAACCUCGUCGUAGUUAGGAUUGCGGGUUGCAACUCACCCGCAUGAAUAUGGAAUCCCUAGUAACCGUGUGUCACCAUCGCACGGUGAAUACGUCCCUGCUCCUUGCACACACCGCCCGUCACUGCAUCUGAGUGGGGUCUGGGUGAGGCACGGUCUUGUUGGCCGUCUCGAAUCUAGGCUCUGCAAGGAGGCAGAAGUCGUAACAAGGUA
This 1456-nucleotide ribosomal RNA is filed under the name metagenome. RNAcentral's name for it is "bacterial SSU rRNA". It matches the Rfam family "Archaeal small subunit ribosomal RNA". The record is from RNAcentral.